Ribosomal RNA from Lepisosteus oculatus (spotted gar), 119 nucleotides. NCBI's taxonomy places the organism in Eukaryota, Metazoa, Chordata, Actinopteri, Semionotiformes, Lepisosteidae. The record is from Ensembl.
ACCAGCAGCCAUAUCACCCUGCAACUCACAACUGGUAACCCAUUGAAGCUCAGCAGGUGUGAGCCUGGUCAGUAUCUGGAUGGGAGACCUCCUGAGAAAAACUAAGGUUGCUGCUGGAA